GACAGAGGGUGCAAACGUUGUUCGGAUUUACUGGGCGUAAAGGGCGCGUAGGCGGCCCGUUUUGUCAGGCGUGAAAGCCCUGGGCUCAACCUGGGAACUGCGCUUGGGACGGAUGGGCUUGAGAUCGGGAGAGGAGAGUGGAAUUCCCAGUGUAGAGGUGAAAUUCGUAGAUAUUGGGAAGAACACCGGUGGCGAAGGCGGCCUACUGGGCCAGCACUGACGCUGAGGCGCGAAAGCUCGGGGAGCGAACGGG
This 253-nucleotide ribosomal RNA is filed under the name uncultured bacterium. Its description in RNAcentral is "partial 16S ribosomal RNA". It matches the Rfam family "Bacterial small subunit ribosomal RNA", at positions 524 to 776 of the family's 1533-position model. The record is from RNAcentral.